Molecule: long non-coding RNA, 246 nt
Filed under: Homo sapiens (human)
Lineage: Eukaryota; Metazoa; Chordata; Mammalia; Primates; Hominidae
Description: non-protein coding lnc-C11orf74-13:1
Source: RNAcentral
CAGAGGCCGACUGGACAACCAAGGCCACAAAAACUAACCCGGGGCUGGGAGCGGUGGCUCACGCCUGUAAUCCCAGCACUUUGGGAUGCCGAGGCGGGGCGGAUCACGAACGAGAGUAUCUGUUUUGCAUUCCUUACUUGGUGGAGGUAGAAUGAGAGCCAAUGAUUCUUCACCAUCACACAGCCGGUUAUCAAGAUAGGAAUAUGCUCACCCCAAAGUUUUCUUCAAUGACCUUCACCAGAAAAA